ACUAAGCGUACACGGUGGAUGCCCUGGCAGUCAGAGGCGAUGAAGGACGUGCUAAUCUGCGAUAAGCGUCGGUAAGGUGAUAUGAACCGUUAUAACCGGCGAUUUCCGAAUGGGGAAACCCAGUGUGAUUCGUCACACUAUCAUUAACUGAAUCCAUAGGUUAAUGAGGCGAACCGGGGGAACUGAAACAUCUAAGUACCCCGAGGAAAAGAAAUCAACCGAGAUUCCCCCAGUAGCGGCGAGCGAACGGGGAGGAGCCCAGAGCCUGAAUCAGUGUGUGUGUUAGUGGAAGCGUCUGGAAAGGCGCGCGAUACAGGGUGACAGCCCCGUACACAAAAAUGCACAUACUGUGAGCUCGAUGAGUAGGGCGGGACACGUGGUAUCCUGUCUGAAUAUGGGGGGACCAUCCUCCAAGGCUAAAUACUCCUGACUGACCGAUAGUGAACCAGUACCGUGAGGGAAAGGCGAAAAGAACCCCGGCGAGGGGAGUGAAAAAGAACCUGAAACCGUGUACGUACAAGCAGUGGGAGCCUCUUUUAUGGGGUGACUGCGUACCUUUUGUAUAAUGGGUCAGCGACUUAUAUUCUGUAGCAAGGUUAACCGAAUAGGGGAGCCGAAGGGAAACCGAGUCUUAACCGGGCGUUAAGUUGCAGGGUAUAGACCCGAAACCCGGUGAUCUAGCCAUGGGCAGGUUGAAGGUUGGGUAACACUAACUGGAGGACCGAACCGACUAAUGUUGAAAAAUUAGCGGAUGACUUGUGGCU
Molecule: ribosomal RNA, 764 nt
Filed under: Escherichia coli
Lineage: Bacteria; Pseudomonadati; Pseudomonadota; Gammaproteobacteria; Enterobacterales; Enterobacteriaceae
Description: partial 23S ribosomal RNA
Rfam family: Bacterial large subunit ribosomal RNA
Source: RNAcentral